This 883-nucleotide ribosomal RNA is filed under the name Psychrobacter sp. A2-1. Its description in RNAcentral is "bacterial SSU rRNA". It matches the Rfam family "Bacterial small subunit ribosomal RNA", at positions 28 to 904 of the family's 1533-position model. Lineage: Bacteria; Pseudomonadati; Pseudomonadota; Gammaproteobacteria; Moraxellales; Moraxellaceae. The record is from RNAcentral.
AUUGAACGCUGGCGGCAGGCUUAACACAUGCAAGUCGAGCGGWAACRRKRRWAGCUUGCUWYYMGSYGWCGAGCGGCGGACGGGUGAGUAAUACUUAGGAAUCUACCUAGUAGUGGGGGAUAGCACGGGGAAACUCGUAUUAAUACCGCAUACGACCUACGGGAGAAAGGGGGCAGUUUACUGCUCUCGCUAUUAGAUGAGCCUAAGUCGGAUUAGCUAGAUGGUGGGGUAAAGGCCUACCAUGGCGACGAUCUGUAGCUGGUCUGAGAGGAUGAUCAGCCACACCGGGACUGAGACACGGCCCGGACUCCUACGGGAGGCAGCAGUGGGGAAUAUUGGACAAUGGGGGRAACCCUGAUCCAGCCAUGCCGCGUGUGUGAAGAAGGCCUUUUGGUUGUAAAGCACUUUAAGCAGUGAAGAAGACUCCRUGGUUAAUACCCAYGGACGAUGACAUUAGCUGCAGAAUAAGCACCGGCUAACUCUGUGCCAGCAGCCGCGGUAAUACAGAGGGUGCAAGCGUUAAUCGGAAUUACUGGGCGUAAAGGGAGCGUAGGUGGCUCUAUAAGUCAGAUGUGAAAUCCCCGGGCUUAACCUGGGAACUGCAUCUGAAACUGUAGAGCUAGAGUAUGUGAGAGGAAGGUAGAAUUCCAGGUGUAGCGGUGAAAUGCGUAGAGAUCUGGAGGAAUACCGAUGGCGAAGGCAGCCUUCUGGCAUAAUACUGACACUGAGGCUCGAAAGCGUGGGUAGCAAACAGGAUUAGAUACCCUGGUAGUCCACGCCGUAAACGAUGUCUACUAGUCGUUGGGUCCCUUGAGGACUUAGUGACGCAGCUAACGCAAUAAGUAGACCGCCUGGGGAGUACGGCCGCAAGGUUAAAACUCAA